AUGUUCCUUCUUCUGGUGCUUCUCACUGGACUUGGUGGGAUGCAUGCAGACCUCAAUCCUCAUAAAAUCUUCCUGCAGACCACAAUUCCAGAGAAGAUUUCAUCAUCGGAUGCAAAAACAGAUCCAGAACAUAAUGUUAUUUACAUGAUUACCAUAGAAGGAAAGCCAUAUUUUGUCCAUCUCAAAAAGCAAUCAAUUUUAUCUUCAGCUUCUGUUAUUAAUUCUUAUGACGAAAAUGACAUCCGUCAUUCCAAACCUCUGCUAGUUCAGAUGGAUUGCAAUUAUAAUGGAUAUGUUGUGGGUAUUCCAAAUUCUCUUGUGACUCUCAGCAUAUGUUCAGGACUCAGGGGAACAAUGCAGCUGAAAAACAUCUCAUAUGGAAUUGAACCGAUAGAGGCUGUAUCAGGAUUUAUACACAAGAUUUAUGAAGAAAAAUAUGCUGACACUAAUAUUCUCUUAGAAGAAAAUGACACUUAUACUUGGUUUAAUUCAGAGUAUCAAGUCAGAAAAAGUUCAGAAUUCAAACCGGCUAAUACGAUUUAUAGGAAAUCAGUUGAUAAAGAAUGCGAUUUCACUGACUAUUACAAUGGGGACCUUCCAUACUGUUUGCCUGACACUUAUGUACGUGAUGGAGAAUAUUGUGAUUCAGAUGGAGCCUUCUGUUUUCAAGGAAAGUGUUGGACUUUUGACAAACAAUGUGAUGAUUUAAUUGGAAGAGGUUCAAGAGGUGCUCCAAUUUUCUGUUAUGAUGAAAUUAAUACCAGAGGAGACAAUUUUGGAAACUGUGGCACUGCACAUUGUCUUUUCCAACAUAUUCUAUGUGCAAAAUUAUUCUGUACAUGGGAACACAGAGACUUAAUAUCACGUCCAAAUUUAUCUGUGAUUUAUGCACAUGUAGGAGACCAAACAUGUGUGUCUAUAUACCUACCCAGGAGGACGCCACCUCCAGUAAAUUCACCUAUUUCAAUCACAUCAUAUUAUUCAGCUGAAGACAGAGAUGAAACAUUUGUACAAGAUGGUUCCAUGUGUGGUCCUGAUAUGUAUUGUUUCGAAAUGCAUUGUAAACAUGUUAGAUUCCUGAUGAAUUUAAAAUUGUGUGAUGCUUCUAAUCAUUGUGAUCGUCAUGGAGUUUGUAACAAUUUUAACCAUUGCCAUUGUGAAAAGGGAUAUAAUCCUCCUUACUGCCAACCAAAGCAAGGAGCAUUUGGAAGUAUUGAUGAUGGACACUUAGUACCACCAACUG
This 1243-nucleotide small RNA is filed under the name Pan troglodytes (chimpanzee). Its description in RNAcentral is "processed transcript". Lineage: Eukaryota; Metazoa; Chordata; Mammalia; Primates; Hominidae. The record is from RNAcentral.